AGUAGCGGCGAGUGAAGCGGCAAAAGCUCAAAUUUGAAAUCUGGCACUUUCAGUGUCCGAGUUGUAAUUUGAAGAAGGUAUCUUUGGGUCUGGCUCUUGUCUAUGUUUCUUGGAACAGAACGUCACAGAGGGUGAGAAUCCCGUGCGAUGAGAUGACCCAGACCUAUGUAAAGUUCCUUCGAAGAGUCGAGUUGUUUGGGAAUGCAGCUCUAAGUGGGUGGUAAAUUCCAUCUAAAGCUAAAUAUUGGCGAGAGACCGAUAGCGAACAAGUACAGUGAUGGAAAGAUGAAAAGAACUUUGAAAAGAGAGUGAAAAAGUACGUGAAAUUGUUGAAAGGGAAGGGCUUGAGAUCAGACUUGGUAUUUUGUAUGUUACUCUCUCGGGGGUGGCCUCUACAGUUUACCGGGCCAGCAUCAGUUUGGGCGGUAGGAGAAUUGCAAAGAAAUGUGGCACUGCCUCGGUAGUGUGUUAUAGUCUUUGUCGAUACUGCCAGCCUAGACUGAGGACUGCGGC
This 513-nucleotide ribosomal RNA is filed under the name [Candida] sp. RNAcentral describes it as "LSU rRNA". It matches the Rfam family "Eukaryotic large subunit ribosomal RNA", at positions 82 to 600 of the family's 3401-position model. The record is from RNAcentral. Lineage: Eukaryota; Fungi; Ascomycota; Saccharomycetes; Saccharomycetales.